CGCCCACUCAUCCCCCUUGUGCGCGUCUGCGCAUGCGCCCUGGUGCGGGCCCAGGCAGGGCGCUUUGCCUAACUCUGAGAAGUGACAGCGGCCGUGACUGGCCUCACGCGCUCCCUCUCUCACACGUCUUUAGACAUCCUUUUACGCUCGUCUCUUCCACAAAGCCUCACCACUGCACACCAUUCUCCCCCGCAAAAAAGUGAAACGAACUUAUCUCUGAAUGGCUUGCACUUUAUACUUCUAACAGGCAUGGUAUUGUUCCAUCUUCUGACAAGUAACCCCAUCACUCACCUAUUAGCUAAGAUGGCAGAUGAGAACUGAGGGGAGACACACAGCACGCACACUAGAAAGAGGAAAGUCAUUCACAGUCAUGAGGACAUUCCAGUGACCUCUGAAGAGGCUCAUGUGGGAAGAAACUGAGGCCUCCCAGGACCUCCCAGCACCAUCUUGCCAGCCUGUGACAGCACCAGCUUGGAAGCAGAUCUUCCAGCUCCAGUCACUUCUGAUGACUGCAGCUCUGGUGGCAUCUCAGCUGCAGCCUCAUGGGAUGUCCUGGGCUAGAAGAACCUGGCUUAGCAGUUCCUGGAUUCAUGACCCACACAAACAGUGAGUCUGAUAAGUUUUCUUUAUCAUUAUUUUUGCAGAUUUUGUUGGAAAUAAAAUUCACAUAUGUAAACAUCAGCAUUUUAAAGUAUACUGUUUAGUGGAUUUUAGUACAUUUAUUGUUACGCAACCAUUGCCACUAUCUCAUUCCAGAAUAUUUCCAUCACCUCCAAAUGAUACCCCACACUUCUUGGCAGUCACUCUUUGUUCCCCCUACUCCUCAUCACCUGACAACCACUAAUCAACUGUUUGACUCUAAGGAUUUGCUUGUUGUAGACAUUUGCUAUAAAAGGAAUCAUAUGAUAUUUGGUCUUUUGUGAAUGACUUCUUUCAUGUAUCAUAAUGUUUUCAAGGUUUAUCCAUAUUGGAGCACAAGUUAGUUAUUUAUUCCUUAUUUUUAAAAAACUUAAUUUUUUUUAGAGCAUUUAGGUUUACAAAAAAAUUGGGACUAAAGUACAGAGAUUUCCCAUAUACU
Long non-coding RNA from Bubalus bubalis (water buffalo), 1078 nucleotides. RefSeq lists it as uncharacterized. The transcript is spliced from 3 exons. NCBI's taxonomy places the organism in Eukaryota, Metazoa, Chordata, Mammalia, Artiodactyla, Bovidae. The record is from RefSeq and is a predicted model, not a curated record.